CAAUGGAGGUCACUCCACUGUCACUACAAAUUCCGGGAAGUAAACUUCCCCAGAUUCCUCCACUUGGAGGUGGCGCUCGGCCUCAGGCUAGGAGGGAACAGGUGAGAAAGCAGCCCAGGUGGGGUGGAUUUGCAGCUAGGAGACACCCCAGAGCAAACAGCCUGACCCCAGCCAGGGAUGUCCAAGAAAGACCGCGAUUCCUGAUAAUCCCUUAUGCCCCGGAGCGCCUCGCCUGCAGAGGCAGCGUCCCCGCAACCCAGCCCCAGCUCUGCCGCGGUGAGGACCUGCGGGUCGGGGUGGACUGGACACUGUCCCACCCAUCAAAUUGUGAUCUGGGAGCCGUGACAUCCGAAUGCCAUCCUCCACUGGAGAGACCCUCAGAGCAGCCACGCCCCUAGCGACUGUCCCGCCACCCGAGGCCGGGGGUCGCGCGACUCACCCAAAAGACUGGUGUUUCAGGCGCUCCACGGAGCAGGUUGUUUGUCAGCCGCUAGGUGCCGUCAGGGUUCCCGGCUCUGGCGUCCGUGGGCGGCUACGGGAAGCGACAGGAGUCAGUCCUGGUUCACUUCCCGGCUCCCGCGCCUUACUGCUGUGGUUUCCCCACCCUCCCCGCGCCCCGCCUUCUGUGUAUGGGGCGUCCCUGGCGGCUCUGCUGGAUUUUGGACAGGGACCCGCCGCUGAUCGCCACCCAGCUCGGCCUCCUGCACAGCCUCUGGAGCCUUGGACCGCGACUGGCUUGCUGUGGGACGAGCACAGAGGGAUAAGGACAAAGAAUGUGUCCUGGGUGGAUCUGGCUGCCUUUGCCCCGAAGGCGGAGUGGGGUGGGAGGUGGCAGGAAAAUGGGAAGGAAAGAAGAGAAAGGCUUUGUCUUCCGCAGCAAGUGGGCCGACGUCCACCUGGCUGUUCCAGGCCUCCAGGUCUAGGAGGGAGGGCGCUCGGGGCUGGGACUUUUCAGGACCAGGGUGGUCACCGCACAGGCCCCGCCUGCCUGGACCCAGCGCUGGCCUUCCCGGGGCGCCCAGGUCCACGGGGUCAACGCCAGGGUUUUCUCAGCUUCCUCGUCUGCCUCGGAUCGGAGUCCAGACAGUGCCAGAAGCGACUUGGAGGCGCUGCUUUUUGACAGUACACACCUCUGGAUGUAGGUGAAACGGUGGGGGAAGGGUUCAGUAUGCUGGACUGUGCCCAGCCCAAGCUCCCCAUCCGUUAGUGAUAACUUGGACUCGCAGCCACUCCGCGUCACUCGCCAGUUAUCCUGCGUGUGGGUGUUUUCUCCAAAUUGGACACUUAGGGAACAGUUUAAGCAGUAUGGAGCACAAUUCUGUGCGUAUUAGAUGCUCGUAAAUACCCAACUUAUCAGGGCCCUACACUGACUCAUAGUUUGACCUAUUGGCUGUAAACACACCAGCCAGAAAUACAAAUAAAGUUAAACAAAGUCAUGUCGGCCACUUGG
Molecule: non-coding RNA, 1450 nt
Filed under: Pongo abelii (Sumatran orangutan)
Lineage: Eukaryota; Metazoa; Chordata; Mammalia; Primates; Hominidae
Source: RNAcentral